Molecule: ribosomal RNA, 199 nt
Filed under: uncultured bacterium
Lineage: Bacteria
Also listed under: 1 other name
Description: partial 16S ribosomal RNA
Rfam family: Bacterial small subunit ribosomal RNA
Source: RNAcentral
UACUCCUACGGGAGGCAGCAGUAGGGAAUCUUCCACAAUGGACGAAAGUCUGAUGGAGCAACGCCGCGUGAGUGAAGAAGGGUUUCGGCUCGUAAAACUCUGUUGUUAAAGAAGAACAUAUCUGAGAGUAACUGUUCAGGUAUUGACGGUAUUUAACCAGAAAGCCACGGCUAACUACGUGCCAGCAGCCGCGGUAAUA